CAUUCAAUGCCAGCUCAUGAAAGCAGCUGUGGGCUGUACCCUGCAAAGCCACAGAAGUGGAGCUGCCCAAGGCCUUGGGAGCCCACCCCUUGCAUCAGCAUAUCCUGAAUGGGAGACAUGGAGUCACAGGAAAUGUGGGAGUUUUAAGAUUAAAUGCCUGCCCUGCUCAGUUUGGGACUUUCAUUGGACCUGUAGCCCCUUUGUUUUGACCAAUUUCUUCCAUUUGUAACAGGAACAUUUACCCAAUGCCUGCACCUUCACUGUAUCUUGGAAAUAACUAACUUUUUUAUUAUUUUAUAGGCUCAUUGGUGGAAGGAACUUGCCUUGUCUCAGCUGUCAUGUAAGACAUGCUGCCUUGCUUCCCCUUCACCUUCCACCAUGAUUCUAAGUUUCCUGAGGUCUCUCCAGCCAUGCAGAACUGUGAGUCAAUUAAACCCCUUUUGUUAAUAAAUUACCCAGUCCCAGGUAGUAUCUUUAUAGCAGUGUGAAAUGAACUAAUACAGCACAGAAACCAUAGUUGCUCAGCUUUCCUUUUAAGAGAGUUUGGGAGCCAGAGGCUGUUAUUGACUCUUUUCAGACAAAAUUCUAAGAUUUUCCUUGCAGUAGUUCCAGCUUCAAUAUCUUAGAUAACUGCUUCAUGAAGCCUGUGUCAAAACAUACUCCCAAUGGACUAUUGAGAGAAUUGUAGAAUAAAAUUGUAGCAUUCUAGGGUUAGCACUCUAACUCUUUCUCUUUGAAGCAUAUUCCAUCAAAUAUAUCCUAAUACAAACACAUUUCAAUGUAAGACAAAGGGCAAUAAUAAACAUACCUUAAGCAAUAAGUGCUUAUAGUUUCCCCCUCUUUGAAUGGGAAGACUGUAGUCACUACUCUGUGAGAAUCCAUUAUAUGCUGUUGUUUUGUUUUAAAAAUGCUUGUUUUUUGUUUAUUAUUGUUUGUUUCAGUUUAUUAUUUUCCCACAUGAGACAAUAGUUAAUUUAAAAAUGAGCUUUUAUUCAUGUCUUUGAGACAGCCUCAUUAAAUCUUUUAGGACAUUAAAUUUUCCACCUUUUAUUUUCCUUUUAAUAAUAUGACAAAUCUGUGGGGUUUUGCCUGAGCUAGACAAUGUGGCAUUUAUUUAUUUAUUCAGAAGCAUUUUCAGGGACCACUUGAAAAAGUUUGUUUCUAAAAUCCUUAAUAAUGUUAUCCUAAUCCAUCAUGUUACUUGCUAUUUGCAUAGUCAUUUCAUUGGAUAGUUUAUGAAAAAUGGAAGGGAAAGUAUUUUCUUACAGUGCCAUUUUUCACAAGACUCACUUCCUGAUGAGAACAUGAGAAGCAGUUUCUUCCUGAGACCCACUUUAGUUUGUCCCAACCUUCUGAAGAGACAUGGGGCUGCCCUGACAGUCUGCUGAUUUUGUACAGUGACCACUAUCCCUGUCUGCUCUAGUCUUUUUUCACUUUGACUCUGUGAAGACCAUCUUCUGGAAAGAAUGGACAUUUCAGUCUAGUCAGCCAAGAAAACAAGCUGCCCAAGUUUCUGUCACACUCAAAGCUUCUAUGAGUCAUUGAAUUUGCACUUCUUUUGUCACCUCUUCCCAAGCCCCUUAUGAUCUUAACAGGGCAUGUCCAAACUUGCCAGAGCAUAUUCAUGAAUUAUCUAAAGAAUUCCAUUGUUAUGGUCUGAAUAGUGUUCCUCAGAAUUCAUAUGUCAAAGUCCUGAUCCCCAGUACCCUCAGAAUGUGACUGUAUUUGGAGAUAAGACCUUUAAAGGGAUAAUUAAGGUAAAAUGGGGUCAUAUGUGCACACCCUAGUUCAAUAUGACUGGUGUCUUUACAAGAAGAGAAGAUUAAGACAAAGACAUGCACAGAGGGAAGACCAUGUGAAGACACUGGGAAAAGAUGAUGUGUUAGUCCAUUUCCUAUUGCUAUGACAGAAUACCACAGACUGGGAAAUUUAUUUAAAAGAGAGAGAGAGAGAUUUAUUUGGCUCACAGUUCUAGAGACUGGGAAGUCCAACAGCAUGAUGACAAUAUCUGCUUGGCAUCUGGUGAAGGCCUUCUUACUGUGUCAUCACACACUGGAAAGGCAGAAGGUAUCACAUGAUGGGAGAGGGUAAGAGAGAGUGAGACAGAGAGAAAGAGAGAAUCAUAUUCCCACAAUAAUGGCAUUGACCUAAUCACCUCUUAAAGGACCCACCUCUCAACACUGUUACAAUAGCAAUUAAAUUUUAGCAUGAGUUUUGAAAAGAAUAUUUAAACCAUAGCAGCCAGCCAUCUAUGAGCCAAAAACAGAGACCUCAGAAAGAAUCAACCCUGACAACACCUUAAUCUUGGACCUCUAGCCUCCAGAGCUGUGAGAAAAUUAACUUCUGUUGUUUAACAAAAAUUCUGUUGUUUAAACCACCCAGUCUGUGGUAAUUGGCUAUGGCAGCUCUUGAAAAUUAAUACAAUUAUUUCUCUCUAACUCAACUUUGAACACCUAUGAGAGGCUGAGGUAAACUGGCAAAAGGUAAGACUGGAGAGAAAGUCUUGUGUAAGAUUAU
This 2517-nucleotide long non-coding RNA is filed under the name Homo sapiens (human). RNAcentral describes it as "HSALNT0192989". Lineage: Eukaryota; Metazoa; Chordata; Mammalia; Primates; Hominidae. The record is from RNAcentral.